Molecule: transfer RNA, 73 nt
Filed under: Ailuropoda melanoleuca (giant panda)
Lineage: Eukaryota; Metazoa; Chordata; Mammalia; Carnivora; Ursidae
Rfam family: tRNA
About the family: Transfer RNA (tRNA) molecules are approximately 80 nucleotides in length. Their secondary structure includes four short double-helical elements and three loops (D, anti-codon, and T loops).
Source: Rfam by way of RNAcentral
GCCUGGCUGGUUCAUUUGGUGGAAUGUGUGACUCUUGAUCUCAGGGUCAUGAGUUUGAGUCCCAUGUUGGGCA